Molecule: ribosomal RNA, 429 nt
Filed under: uncultured archaeon
Lineage: Archaea
Description: bacterial SSU rRNA
Rfam family: Archaeal small subunit ribosomal RNA
Source: RNAcentral
UACCAGCUCUCCGAGUGGUAGGGAUGAUUAUUGGGCUUAAAGCGUCCGUAGCCGGCUUAGCAAGUCUCCUGUUAAAUUCAGCGACCUAAUCGUUGAGCCGCGGGAGAUACUAUUAGGCUAGGAGGCGGGAGAGGUCGACGGUACUUCUGGGGUAGGGGUGAAAUCCUAUAAUCCCGGGAGGACCACCAGUGGCGAAGGCUGUCGACUAGAACGCGCUCGACGGUGAGGGACGAAAGCUGGGGGAGCGAACCGGAUUAGAUACCCGGGUAGUCCCAGCUGUAAACGAUGCGGGCUAGGUGUUGGGGUGGCUACGUGCCACUUCAGUGCCGCAGGGAAGCCAUUAAGCCCGCCGCCUGGGGAGUACGGCCGCAAGGCUGUAACUUAAAGGAAUUGGCGGGGGAGCACCACAAGGCGUGAAGCUUGCGGUUC